GACGAACCGUGCGAACGUUAUUCGGAAUCACUGGGCUUAAAGCGCGUGUAGGCGGAAGGGCACGUCCGUUGCUGAAAUCCCCCGGCUCAACCGGGGAACGGGCACGGAUACGACUCUUCUGGAGGGGCGUAGGGGGACCUGGAACUUCCGGUGGAGCGGUGAAAUGCGUUGAGAUCGGAAGGAACGCCCGUGGCGAAAGCGAGGUCCUGGACGCCUACUGACGCUGAGACG
Molecule: ribosomal RNA, 231 nt
Filed under: uncultured bacterium
Lineage: Bacteria
Description: partial 16S ribosomal RNA
Rfam family: Bacterial small subunit ribosomal RNA
Source: RNAcentral